Long non-coding RNA from Odontomachus brunneus, 1516 nucleotides. RefSeq lists it as uncharacterized. The record is from RefSeq and is a predicted model, not a curated record. The transcript is spliced from 2 exons. NCBI's taxonomy places the organism in Eukaryota, Metazoa, Arthropoda, Insecta, Hymenoptera, Formicidae.
AUAGCGCUCGCGUAGCCGUCGGCUGAGACGUGGCAACAUCGUCAGCGAACACGUCGUCACGGUCACCUGACUUUUCGUGGAAACGCGACGCUACUAUACUCUUCUUGAUCGCGCGCGCGCGCGCGCGCGUGAGUAUGAAUAUAAGCGUGCACGAAUGCGUUUACGCACGGCCUUUUUUCUCCUUUUCAUUUCCCUCCCGUUACUCCUCCUAAACUCGUUCUCUCUCUCUCUCUAACUCUUUCUUCCUCCCCACUCUUUGUCUCUGCCUCUACUCGUCGCCCUCUUACGGUGAGAUCAAUCGAUCGAAGACAGCGGAUUUUUCCGCAGACGACACACGAUAUGCGCUUCGACUUCGGGUACAUACGUACGGCGCGCCGUUGAUGCCACGGGGAAAGUGCUUCUAUCUGGUUAAUCGUAUGUAACACGUAAUCUGUCAAAUAGGAGAAGGAAAGAGAGAGAUUACGUUGCUAUCAAAGCCAUGAUAAGGACGUCGGUGGUUCUCAACUUGGGAAAUCAUGAUUACAUUCUAGGUUACUCGAAGAAAUUGUUACUGCAAGCAAGAUGCGCAUAGAAAUGCGCGAGAUAUUUUCCAUCAAUCGAAUAAUGGAAAAUAAUUCUUCGAAACUGACUCUAGCCAAAAAGAGCCACAAUAUGCUCUUUGCUUUCUGUUUCUUGUCUUCUAUCUUUUUUUGGUUUAAAGCUUAAGAUUUGAGUCAGAAAGCGAUAAAGAGAAAGAAACAGGAAGCAAACAGUAUAUUGUAGAUCAAGCUUAAAUGUGUAGUCUAUUUAAAACAGUGUAAUUCAUGUGUAUUCGUGGAGAAAAAUUAUCAAAUUAUUGAUACUAUUUGAACGAGUUAUCAUUGAGAACAUUGAAUAACAUUGCUAAUUUUAAUAUUGAUAUCUCGUGUACUUGUCCAUAUAAAUAUUAAUAAAUUCAUGUAAUAUCGAUUACAAAGCGUCGAUUAUCGGAUACAUCAGAUGCUACACAUCUGAAAUUGUAUUGCUAGACAGAUACUGGACAAUUUCGUUUCUUGACUUUACAUUAAUAAGUUCAAAUGCCACUAUGAUAAGAGCGCAAGAUAACGAUGGGCAUGCGUCGAAGAUAACGUCGAUAACACGUUGUUAUGUACGACACUGAACAUUGCGACCAAGUUGUUUAUGCCAGCAAAAGGAACUCUAUAUAUGUACAUGUUUACAACUGAUAUCGAUAUAAUGGUAUUACACGACUUAACUACCGUGACGAUUUAUUAUUCCAGGAAUAUAUGGAAAAGCAACGUAACUCGUGAAAAGAAACACGAGGAAAAACAAGAUAAUUAUCAAUUAUUUAUAAUAUCAUUGGUGAAUAUGUAAUGUGAUUAAAGGACUUCUGCUUUAUGAUAGAUAUCGACUAUAUAUCACAAGAGAUCUAUAUUUGAUAUAAGAUCUAUAUUUAUCACUAAAUAAAGUGCCAAGAUAGAUUGCUGCCAUUAUGAAGCAGACAGAAGAUAUUGAACAUAAUACAUGAUACUGAACAUAA